AGGGACUUGCACACCAUUUGUGAUGAGGUAUUAAACGGGAGUUUUCUUUGUUCUUCCUUCCACUGGAGAUACUAGAAUACGUUUAAGGAGGCCAUGUACCUGCUCAGAAACAUUUGCGACCUUGGUAUUAGGGAGGCAACAUACCAUCCUGGAGUCUGUCUUGCAGCCACAGAAGUGCCUAUCUGACCAUGAAACACUACUGAUUGUUGGUUCACCAUGUCCUUUAAGAAUUCUGGAUCGAGCCUACAUGUGACUCCAAAUUCACAGCAACGUGGUAAUCAGCUACACUAACUGUUGGACCACAUGCUACACUGUAUCUUGUUGAGAACACUUGGUGCUGUCA
This is a long non-coding RNA of Hemiscyllium ocellatum (epaulette shark), 343 nucleotides long. RefSeq lists it as uncharacterized. The record is from RefSeq and is a predicted model, not a curated record. The transcript has 3 exons. NCBI's taxonomy places the organism in Eukaryota, Metazoa, Chordata, Chondrichthyes, Orectolobiformes, Hemiscylliidae.